This 76-nucleotide transfer RNA is filed under the name Escherichia coli. RNAcentral describes it as "tRNA-Met". The record is from RNAcentral. Lineage: Bacteria; Pseudomonadati; Pseudomonadota; Gammaproteobacteria; Enterobacterales; Enterobacteriaceae.
GCGGGGUGGAGCAGCCUGGUAGCUCGUCGGGCUCAUAACCCGAAGGUCGCCGGGUGGAGCAGCCUGGUAGCUCGUC